ACGAACGCUGGCGGCGUGCCUAACACAUGCCAGUCGAACGGUAAGGCCCCUUCGGGGGUACACGAGUGGCGAACGGGUGAGUAACACGUGAGCAACCUGCCCUUGACUCUGGAAUAACAGUUGGAAACAGCUGCUAAUACUGGAUAUUCAUCGUCUCCUUCCUGGGGGGUGGUGGAAAGCUCCGGCGGUCAGGGAUGGGCUCGCGGCCUAUCAGCUUGUUGGUGAGGUAAUGGCUCACCAAGGCUUCGACGGGUAGCCGGCCUGAGAGGGCGACCGGCCACACUGGGACUGAGAUACGGCCCAGACUCCUACGGGAGGCAGCAGUGGGGAAUAUUGCACAAUGGGCGCAAGCCUGAUGCAGCAACGCCGCGUGCGGGAUGACGGCCUUCGGGUUGUAAACCGCUUUCAGUAGGGACGAAGGGUGACUGACGGUACCUACAGAAGAAGGACCGGCUAACUACGUG
RNAcentral lists this ribosomal RNA (464 nucleotides) under uncultured bacterium. RNAcentral's name for it is "partial 16S ribosomal RNA". It matches the Rfam family "Bacterial small subunit ribosomal RNA", at positions 29 to 507 of the family's 1533-position model. The record is from RNAcentral.